UACGUAGGGUGCAGGCGUUAAUCGGAAUUACUGGGCGUAAAGGGUGCGUAGGCGGUCCUAUAAGUCAGUUGUGAAAUACGGCAGCUUAACUGUCGAGGUGCAAUUGAUACUGCAGGACUUGAGUACAGACGAGGUAGGCGGAAUUGACGGUGUAGCGGUGAAAUGCUUAGAUAUCGUCAAGAACACCGAUAGCGAAGGCAGCUUACUAGACUGUAACUGACGCUGAUGCACGAAAGUGUGGGGAUCAAACAGG
RNAcentral lists this ribosomal RNA (253 nucleotides) under uncultured bacterium. RNAcentral's name for it is "partial 16S ribosomal RNA". It matches the Rfam family "Bacterial small subunit ribosomal RNA", at positions 524 to 776 of the family's 1533-position model. The record is from RNAcentral.